Long non-coding RNA from Gallus gallus (chicken), 10400 nucleotides. RefSeq lists it as uncharacterized. The record is from RefSeq and is a predicted model, not a curated record. The transcript has 2 exons. Lineage: Eukaryota; Metazoa; Chordata; Aves; Galliformes; Phasianidae.
GGCACAGCUUGAGGCACCUCACUACGUGACUACCGGUAGUUGUCAUUUUCCCUUUUUCCCAAGGAGAUGGAUUUUUCCUGCCCGAAUUCGAGCAAGUUUCAUCCCAAAUCGCUCAGAGAGAAGAGAAGCUCCUGCGAUCCCUGAGUGAUGCAUGACUUUGUUUUACACGUUCCCGUGAGAUGCUUCUGGGCAGUUGGCAUGUUUCAAAAAACUUGUCGCUCGUGAGCUGGAGCAGAAACCUGACUGAGAGACACAGGUAUGGUCUAAGAGAGGUGUCUGAAACCUGCUCGUUUGCGUGGUUCCUUUUCCAAAUGUGGGGUUUGUGUUGGGUUGUUCGCCUGGCUACGUCUCGCUGCAUGGCUCUCAAGGCGGACUUGUAGCUGCACCGCUGAAGCAGGGUAUGCAAAGAGAAUGUCAGAGCUGUCCGAGGCUGGGGACACUUUCUGUGCUGAUAAGCGAUUCCUGUGAGUGGCCAAACUGAUCCAUCUCCCUCUCUGACAGUGCCUUUGUCUGAGGGGACUGUUGAGUGAGGCUUUAAGGCUAAGCAGAGGAUAAAAACGUACAAUUGACCAUGUCCAAUGACUGCCUCAAUCAUGUGACAUUUCCUCCAUCUACAUAAAGGCAUAAUUGACACUUUGGACCUUGCAGAUGUUUUGCAAUUCAUUUGGUUCCCACAAAGAUAUCAGAAAGUUAGUCUCGUGAACUGGCAAUACUGUGCUUUCCUCUGAACAUGUUCUUCUAGCUAAAACGUAUUUAGAUGCAAAUCGCACCAUGUCUCAUGGCCCCACUUGUUUUGUUUUGCUUUUUCCUUCCCAUUGCCUCUAAACAGACUGUGCCAUCGUUUUUUUCUUCUUAAAGUAUAAAAAUAUUCAGACAUUCCUGAAAAAAACAAGCACACUUGACUUCUUUGCACGUGAUCUGAUUCACACGUGAAUGUCAGUAUAUCCUUUUCCCUUCUACUCAUGGCCUUCUGCUUUAUGCUUCCUAAUUUAAUUUGUCUUUCUGGCUGCUCAGUGAUCCUUCCCAAAGAGAAAUCUCUUUGCUGAGAAGCUAUUUGCUGUGCUUUCAGCAGGAACAGAUGCUGUGAACGACUGGUUGGCUUCAUUUGGCUCUCAGAGGUCUGGACAAAGGGGUAGUGCUGCAAUCUGGCAUGGACCUUGUGCCAUUCAGGGAGGUCUUGGUACAAAUCUAGCAAAGUCAUUGCUUCUUCAUGUCGGUGAGCUAAGCUUCGUCCUCUGUGCUGUAACCUUCCUCUCCAUAAAAUGGGGAAGAAGCCAUCCAGGGUAGAUGUUACUCCUUCCCUCAGAGAUCUUCAGCUUCUGUAACCUCACGGCCAAAGGAGUUGUCUCCUUAUGGAAGAGGAUUUGCUCCAAAACCCUCUCAAACUCAUGGACCUCUCAGCACUCCACAGGGCUGGCAGAUUGGUCCACGCCACUGAGACUUUUCCUAUGAAUAGGAGAAUACCAUGCUUUGUUGAGGCCCCUCGCACUCAGCCUUAUAACUCCUCUCCCAUUUGCUCCCACUUGGCUGGAAGCGGUAAGGAUCAUGCCAGCCUGGCCAGUGCUUAUUAAAAUGAAGAAGAAAGCAGGGCCUGCCUUGCAGUACAACGUAUGAUUCUGCUGCAACAUGGCGUGGAUGUAUUGUAAUUGUUUUCAAACAAGCUUUAAAGAUAUUGAGGUAAAGCAUCAGAAGGAGGUACAGAACAGAAGGAACGUCUGAAAACUUCUCCUGAUUAGUUCUUGUAUUUACAUGUUGUUUUCUCUCACAGACCAGGCUUAUUGCAGUCUAGGUUAUAGCAAGAUCAUUUCGUACACCAGAAGGCUUUGCAAUUUGCCAGUGAAAAGCCAAAUAGGAAUCAAAGAUACCAGUGAGCAAGUUCAUGCCCCAAAAGAAAAGUUGUCCAUUCUAAUAGUGGAGGAAUUAAGGCUAUAACAAACCUCAGGGCAAGGAGUGGAUUGUCGUGCUACUACACCAAGACUGAACAACGUUCUUUAAGAUAAUGCUUAAAUCAGACAAGUUGCUUACCUCAGGAGAGAGGAACUGGGUGAGGUCUAUGGCCUGUGCAGAGUUCCAGCCAGAUGGUCCGAUGAGCUCUUCUGCUCUUAAAACCCAUGAAAUGCAGGAGCAGCAGCAAUGUCUUGAGUCAAGCAGACCUGUUCCCUGCCUUUGCAAGCCGUCACAAAUGAACCAAGUGACAACGCAACAUUCACACCAGGGUGAUAUUGCAGAAUUCCUCUUCUCUGAUGUUUAAAAACCUUCACAAAUAUACUCAUGGAUGAUAUAUGUACCUGUCCUGUUGCAGCACUGUCUUUUGGGUGAAACAGAACCAUUUAUAUUCCCAUUUAUACUCAUGGAGAGCAAUCUUAACCUUUUGCUUUGCUAGGUUGGACAGAGAAACCCCUGAUGUGGGAGGAUAUACCACUCCUGUAAGGGCACACCUAGGGAGCAGACUGAGGGCAAAACAUGCUGCCAAUCAAAGCUUAACUUAAUUAGAAUAUUUUAAAACAGUCUUCUGGCUCGACAUUACUGCUCUCAGUGAUCUUCUGCCACAAGCUCUAAGGUCUAUCAAGCAAGGUGUUAAGAGUGGUUUUGACUUGAGAGAACCAUACACCUCAUUUCUUCUUAUCCUAAUAGUGGAUCUGAAAUAUUUUAGGCAAAUCUUUUUUAAAAUUACCUUUAGGUCAAAUAUAUACAUAUACAUAUAUAUACACACAUAAAUAGUAUAAAUGUUACUUCAAAAGUAUCCUCCAUAGAAUAUUAUAAAUAACGAAUCAGAUUUGUCAUUACAACAAAUGUGUCACAAUAUUCAGAUAUAUGUCAUAGAAUCAUAGGAUCAUUAAGGCUGGAAAAGACCUCCAAGAUCAUCAGGUCCAACCAUCCCCACCAUGCCCACUAAACCAAGUCCCUCAGUGCCACAGCUACACAUUUCUUGAAUGUACAUAUGCUGUUGUUAUUUAAUGCAUAGAUAGAGAAUCUCUCAUAACUGUUGUUGGUGGUUUUAUAAUACCUGACCUUCACCUGAGAGACAGGAUGCAGUAUUUUAUAAAAGUUAUCUGUACCUUGACUUACAGAAACAGUUGAGCUCGAAGUUCAGCACAGCUGUACUUAAAGGUCACCAGUAUUUCCUUAAUUUUAUGUUUUAAUACUUUGUAAAACCUCAUGCUCGAUGCGGUAGGUUUCUAAACAUAUAUUUUCAACUCCUCUAAAUGAAUGUUCUAUGCCAUGAAGAUACAGAAUGUUGCGGGAUUUGGGCAAUCUGUGGCAAAUACAACUAUUUGAAGACACUAACACAACUAGUAGGAUUGUUCUGUGUCACGGUAAAGGAUUCUGUGGGCAUAUGUCUGGUGUUGGUGGAGAAGACAUCCAUCUACUACUUCUGUUUGUUGAUGAAACCAUCCGAGUUACGGUUCUAGAACUGAAUUUCAGAGUAUGAUGCACAGUCCCUGCGCUUGGGUUACUGUCCAGACUUUGGCUAUACUUUGAUAAGAGAACGUCAGCACUCAGAAAACAUCACUUCAGAAGAACUCACCCCCUAGAAAUCCAAUAGGAAAGCAAAGCCAAUGUUUUCUUUUCGAACUGUUUCUAGCAAGGAAAAAUUGGGAGACUUGUAACAAGUAGAUCUACUUCCUCCAGAAAUUGUCUAUCUUUUUUUGUCCAGAUUAAAAUGGAUGCAAACACCUAAAAAAAAAAAAAAAAAAAAAAAAAAAAAGAAGAAGAAGAAGCAGGCAAAUAAAUAAAGUCACCUCAGUGCUUCAUGGAUAUCCUGGCUUUUGCAAAGACUUGUCCAACCACAACCUGAAUAAUUCAAAGCAUUGUUGUCAGGCAGCAGCACAGCCCUCCUAAAUAGGCACUUGCCUUAUCACUCUACAGCAGAUGCUUCAGCCAACCAUUGGAUAUUGAAAACAUAAAUAAUGAAACAAAAUUUGGAGACAAUGGUUUCGGGGCUGGGGACAAAAUACUCAUGGAUAUUGUCAGUCUCUGAGUAACCAAGCAGCAAAAGCUCAAGUGACAACAAUAGGAAGGAGAAGAAUGGGGACAAGUGAGGAGGCCUGAAUCUCAAUAAGGCGCGGAGCUGCACAUGCUGCUGUUACCCUAGAAACUAACCUCUCCCCUGAAGAGGUUUGCCGGGGCAUUGUUUGGGGGACACAAGAUGUGUCAUACACCAGAUGGUCGUGUGCUGUAUAACUCAGUUAUCUGAGAGGACAGAGUAAAGGAAUGCGCGCUGCAGAGCUCGUCGCAGGGCCGAGCAGGGCACCAUCUGUUCUUUCAGAUCCAAGCCACUUUGCUUUUGCUUUUUUUUUUUUUCUUCCUUCCAAGGAAGGAGGGGAAAACAAAAUUAAAAUGAUUCACCAUUCUGAAGGAAAAGAAAAAAAACAAAAACUUACUACAGUUGCCAUCUCCCGCUUUAAUUUAGCUAAUUUUGUCCCCGGGUUUUAUGUCAGGUGAAUUGCUUCUUUUAUGCUUGGGAGAGCAACAAUUAUUUCUCUCUCAGGAGUCUAUCAUUUAUAAAUAAAACCCCUUUGAAACCUCAUUGGUCAUUCACCGUCUGAAAACCCCCAAACCCUCCCGACCAUAUGUUGCCGAAUGUCCCCUCUCUCCUCCCUGACGGCGCGAGUGGUGUUUGUGCAGCGUGGGGGAAAGAAGCCGUCCUUUCCAGGAAUUGUUCUCCGUCUCAGCACGGAGAGGGAAGGGGGGAAGGAGGAAAACAAAAAGCCAGAGUGAAAACCGCAGUCUGCAUGACGGGUGUAGGAAGGAAAUAUUAAUCACGGCCCACACAGCACCAAGGAGCGGUGACUCAGGCAUCUGCGAGGUGAGGCAGGAGUAGGUGUGGGCAUGACAAAACAGCAUGUGAGUGUGCUGCCAGUGCCACCAGAGUCAGCAGAAAGGCUUGGUGCCUUCGGUUGCAUGGGAUCAGGCCCCGCACGCACUUGCAUCAGCUUUUGCUGGAUGAUUCCUAUGAGAGCACCUCCCUCUGCCUGGCAAACCCACAUCCAGAUGGAACUGAAGGAGAGGAAAUGUUUGAAUUAAUUGAGAGGGAAAUCUCUAGGGAAAUCAAGUAAAAAGCAUGGACUCGAAGCAAAAAUUUGCAUGCAGAAUAAGAGCCAAAGAUCAUAGAAUGGCUUGGGUUGGAAGGAACCUCAUAGAUCAUCUAGUUCCAAUGCCUGCCAUGGGCUGGGUUGCCAACUGCUAGACCAGAUCAGCCUGCCCAGGGUCCCAUCCAACCCGGCCUUGAACACCUCCAGGAACAGUGCAUCCACAGCUUCUCUGUACAGCCUGUGCCAGUGCCUCACCACAUAAGGAGUAAAAUCUGAACCACAUUUUAUAUUUAGGUUCCCCGUAUAGGCAGCUCAGUUAAUAGUCUGAUUGGGCAAUCACAUCAGGUCUAACAAAUUAUUAGGCAAUGGUGAAACAGCAGUUGUAGAUGAUAGCAUCUCACAAGCUGCAUGUAAUCCUACUGUUUCCUACAUGCUUCUGGUGCUUACAGCACAGGUAGUUCUUGUAACAUCUGUAUCUAAUGUAUUAAUCUUUAUGAAUUAAUGAUCAAUAUAGUCAUAAGGAUAUAACAUACAGCAGGACUGAAAAGAGAACUUUCUCUUCGACUUUCUUUUUUCUUUUCUCUUUUUCUUCCUUUUCUCUUUCCUUUCCUUUCUUAUUCUUUUUUCUACAAGAUUGCCAGUGUAUCUCUCUUCAUAAAUAAAAAUUCACAUGAAGGAGAUGAUUUAUCCCCAAGCAAUCUCCUACCUAAGCGAGCUGGAAUAAAAAUAGUUAUUAAAAUAGUUAGUUAUUUAAAGAAUAACAUCAAUAAUAACAUUUCCUUCAUUGCAAUUUAGAAAAAUGAUCAAAAUCUGUCCAGCACCAGUGCUCAUCUAUGAGACGGUCCUGGGCACAGCUUUGCCCUCUUUGAGGACAAACCAAGCAACCAGCGUGCACCAGCAACCCUUGGAGCACACGCUGGCAGGGCAGUGUGCUUCAGCACAGCUCGCUGGAAGGAUUGUGUGAAACUGCACUGCAUGCUCAGAGUGCUGCACACAGACUUGGUAAAUUAUGGCAAGAAAAUCUGUAAAGCUUCUUCUGUUCCCCCCUCUGGGGAUUUGCCUCUCUCUGAUCCAAGAAAGCUUGCUGGUGACCGCCUAUCCCACUUUCUGCACCUGGCUGAGUGAUUUACCAGAAACUUGACAGGGUCGUGGAAGCUUUCUUUCCUUUGUUCCACGGGUGUCUGCCAUGGAGAGCCAAGCCUGGAUUAGCUGAGUCUAAAUCCCUGGGCAGUUCGCCAGAGCAAUGCUAGCUCUGAAGAAAACGGAGCUCCGAGAUGAUUUUGAGACUGGCUUUAUACAUCGGUUCUUCUUAGGUGCAAAUCCAUGGGCAGGGAGCAUAAUGCCUCACGUCAGGCUGGUAAGCUGUUCCCCGUAGGCAGCAGUUGCCAGCCAAUGUGGGAGUUAUGUGAACUUUCUGCCUGGCUCGGACAAUGCAGCUUCUCUGGGGCCAGUACUUCCCUGGCAGUGCUCCCUCGCCAGCUAUGUAGGCAUCUUUUCACUGGACAACAUGCUGCAUUGCAAUAAUAUGCAUGGACACGUUGAACAAUGCCUCCAUUCGGCACCUGCAUUUUCUUUGUUGUGGCGCCAACCAUUUUGUCAUAUUGGCUUUUGGGUCUCUGUCAUUAAGAGCGAUGUGAGGCUUCUCGUGCUGCCCUGGGAAAGCAUUCCUCAGUUUUCCAGCAUCCUUCUGUUGCUGCUCCAUAGACAAGGUGCAUGAAGCCUUGCAGGAGCUGGUGGCUCCUGAGAAAAAGUCUUCUGCAAGUCUUCUCAGCCUCAGGAACUACAGAUGCCCUCGUGCCCUGAAGCUGAGGCUACUCUCUGGUCAAAAUCUUUGGCUUAGGGCUGGGGGGAUUUUUCAGCCCGGUUCUCGUGUAAACAAUGUGAAUGCACUCAGUAUUUGUUUUGGCUCUCCUGAAUGGCUUUUGAACACGUCAGCCUAGUUCAACUGAACUUGACGGAAGGGUAGAGGGCACCAGAACAGCUUGCUCAGAGAGAUGGCCAGAAGUGCUGUCCCAUUCAAGGUCAGGCUAGAUGGAGUUCUGAGCACCCGAUCUAGUGUAGGUGUCCCUGUUCAUUACAGGGGAGUUGGACCAGAUGGCCUUUAAGGGUCUCUUCCAGCUCAAACGGUCCUAUAAUUCUAGAUCUACAAAAUAAUUAAGUUCUAAGUUUGGUGAAAAUUUGCAUUGAGGUAGUAGAGAGAGAGGCCCUACCACCGUGAGGUCUGAAUGUUCCUACCAUGGAAAGGCAUGAAUUCACAUCUCAUCAGACACCAGGUGGGUGAUGCAGGAAAAGAACCUGCAAAACACUGCAACACAGAAGGAAGUUUCAGCUGGAAUUUGCGCUUAGACAUCAAAUCAUCCCUCACACGAGUCAUGAAAAAGCCACUAUGUGUAGAAAUAUUUGAUAGUUUCUGGUUGAACUCAUUGACUUCUUGUUCUUUCAUCUAAUCCUUGCUGGGACUCAGUGAAAUAUCGCUGAGCGAUUGGGUAUCAGCUAUUUUCCUUCUAUGAGUUUUGAACUUGCUUCCCUCCAUGUUCCUUCAUCUUAGCUGCUGCUGGUCAGGGAGCCCAAGAGACAAACUUUUCUACACGCCAUUUAAAAAGAAAUUUCAGGGCAUCUAAAAAGAAUUUGCUUUUGUGUGGGAACAUUUCAUUGUGUGAGUUCACAUGUGGUAGGUAAGGAAAGCCUUCAUCACUAAAGUAGAACGAAAUACCUCCAAUAUUAUCAUGGCUUGUGAGAGGCUCAUGAGAGUUGUAUAAGCCAAUGGUCUGAAAACAGAAACAGGGAACAAAACUGGCAAUUCAAACAUCUUUGUGACCACAGGGAAAGCAGUGCUACAGCUACAUCUGACUCCAGCUUCCACUAAGCCUAUGGGAAGCCUUCUUUAAUAGAUUUUGAACUUGCAAAGGCUUAUGUUGGCCCGCAUGGACUGAGUAGUCCCACUGAAGGCAACAGCCCAACUCCUGUGCAUAAAUGAAAUACAGAAGUACACAUUCACAGGAGUGGGACGUAGAUGGGAGUUGCAUCAGACCCUUAAUCUUUUUUCUUUUCUUCUUCCCUGCCCCUGCCCCUCCUCUUCCCAGCCACCAUCCCAUCAGUGAAAUGAGAACAAUAAUACCCAUCUCAGCAGGAUAUGUGAGGAUUAGCUGAAAACUGCUUUUACCUUUUCUCCUUUAAACUCACAGAAAAGAAAAUCUUCCUGCAUUUUACUUUUUUUUAUAGUUCAAGGAGUAAUUUGUUCCUUGCCCAGACCUUUCCAACUCAGUGGGAGGGGGGGAGCCCUGGAAUCCUUCCACCUUCCCCUGGACUGAUGAUAAAUCAGCACUGAGGUGUAUGCUGGCCACAGAGCCAUUAACGUGCUGCAGUGAAACGGCCAUUUUAUCUGCUGACAUCAAAUUAUUCCUGCCUCAGCUAGUAUCUGAGCAUGAUGCUGGCCAAUGACAUUAUUUGAAACAAGCCUAUUUUAAAAUACAAGAAUGAAAAUGAGUGAUGUCCAGACUCUUCUACUUCUCUAAGAUACUUUGUGAAAGGGAAUCUAAAAAGGAACAUACUCUAACGACCAGUGUGGCAGCAGGCACUUCCAGCUCCAAAACCACUCGGGUUCAGAAUAAUGAAAGCUUUGCAGAUAUGUUGUACUGCGUUUAUAUAACAGUGGUCACUAAAGUCCCUUUGUGUUGGACACGGAGCAGACACACAAUUGACAGACAAUUACCACACACUCACUUACGUGCUUUGGACAAUUUGCAUGAACAGCAGGAACCAGCAAACAAGGUUCCAACACAACAUGCUCCCUGCAUGAUGGUUACUGCGGGGGGGUCCAGCUUGAAGGCAUCAAACUGUUUAGCUCGUCUUCUUGCUAUCCUUAUUCCACAAUGCACUGUGAAGAAAGACAAUGAGAUACUUACUUCUGAGGGAAGUCUUUCAGGUAUGAAGCACCAACAGAUGAGACAAAUCCAAUCCACUCAUCAGGCAGAGAAGUAAGACAUGUCUCUGAUGAGCAGCUGUGGUGGCUACCUUUGGGCAGCUGCAUGAUGGAUUUGGAUAGGUCAAAGGCAGACUGGAUCAUCUUCUCUUUUUAAGAACAAGAUGAAUCAUUGGAUUUGAAAUCACUGGUCACCAAGCUGGUGCUCUUUCUGUAAGGUUCUGUUGGACCAGAUGUGGAAUCAGACCUGCUAGCAACCUGCCACAGACAGAACUUCAAAACUUGAUUAUUCUGAGGACAUUCGUGAUGGCGAUGUUCACAUGGACAGAGACAAACCAACACACCAACACAAGGACAUUAUAUAGCAUUAUAUUGCAUAGUAGCCUAAGAGAAAAAAGAAAAGCCAGCAAUUUUUCUGUGCGUAUCGAACUUCUGGAUCUUAGAAUAAACAGAAGAUGUGGUAAUCUUGUCCUGUAUUUUAUUAGGAAAUUAGAGAUUGAUCAAUAAUCUGAAAUUACACAGUGAAUCUCAUUUAAAAAUAUUCAAAAUCAUCACAAUAAUUUUGAUUUCUAUAAAACGUAAUGCCCAGGUACAAUUCCUGUUUAAGUCCAUACGUUUCUACACCCUUAACAUGUAUCUGUUGUACAGCAGCAAGACAAGAUAAUUAUAACAUAAAUACAGUAUACUUUCCUCUGCAGUCCAAGUGAAAGAGGUGAAAUGUUUCAUGUUUAAAACAAGGCUCAGCAUAUAAGCAAUACUAUGAGAUGGUUCCCUGCAAUCUCAGUUCAUUAUGCAUCAGUAUUUCAGACUGCUCUUACAUCCUAGAUUGGUAAUGCUAACUGCUGCGCAAAAUUACGAGGCUUUGGGGCAUCAGUUUUGAUAUAUAUAUAUAUGUAUAUAUAUGUCUCCUUGCUUUCAAACACUGAAAUCUUUCAUUUUAUAUACAUUGCAUUAAUUAGCUAUGUUGUGAUCCUCCAUUUUCCAACACUGUCAACUUUAAGGACAUUCCGCUUUCAAGGAAGGGUGCGUAUGGUAGAGGUGCUAACUAACUGCAAGGGUUGAAUUUCAACUUCAGCAAGCAAAGCUCCAAUCCUGCUCACGUUGUGCAUGUGAAAAAUCACACCAAGACAAACGCUGCUGUUCUUAUUGCAACUAUAAUGUGGGGUGAGGUGGCUUGCAGGUUAGGCCCUGCGUCCUUUAGAUUGGAGCUGGCACUUCUGAAUAGAUUAAUGACUUUGGUAGGGAGCAGAAUUUCUCAUUUGAUUAUUCAGGAAACUAUUAAAUUUGUCAUGUAUGCUAUCUGGAUGAGAGAUGCUUUCCUGAACCGGGGCCAUGAUUCCUGUGAGAAUUAUGGAUGCUCAGUAAGUGGCCAGCUCAAGCACUUGACCUGCAAGUCCAGUCACGUUGGACUGUUGUGCUACUCUUGGAUAGCAUAAGCUAAG